Oncorhynchus keta (chum salmon) is the source of this 1016-nucleotide long non-coding RNA. RefSeq lists it as uncharacterized. Lineage: Eukaryota; Metazoa; Chordata; Actinopteri; Salmoniformes; Salmonidae. The record is from RefSeq and is a predicted model, not a curated record. The transcript is spliced from 3 exons.
CUAUCAGGCGUCAGUAACAAGCCUCUCUCCUGAUGAUUAACUUCACUGGACUAUCAGGCGUCAGUAACAAGCCUCUCUCCUGAUGAUGAACUUCCCUGGACUAUCAGGAGUCAGUAACAAGCCUCUCUCCUGAUGAUGAACUUCCCUGGACUAUCAGGAGUCAGUAACAAGCCUCUCUCCUGAUGAUGAACUUCCCUGGACUAUCAGGAGUCAGUAACAAGCCUCUCUCCUGAUGAUGAACUUCCCUGGACUAUCAGGAGUCAGUAACAAGCCUCUCUCCUGAUGAUGAACUUCCCUGGACUAUCAGGAGUCAGUAACAAGCCUCUCUCCUGAUGAUGAACUUCCCUGGACUAUCAGGAGUCAGUAACAAGCCUCUCUCCUGAUGAUGAACUUCCCUGGACUAUCAGGAGUCAGUAACAAGCCUCUCUCCUGAUGAUGAACUUCCCUGGACUAUCAGGAGUCAGUAACAAGCCUCUCUCCUGAUGAUGAACUUCCCUGGACUAUCAGGAGUCAGUAACAAGCCUCUCUCCUGAUGAUGAACUUCCCUGGACUAUCAGGAGUCAGUAACAAGCCUCUCUCCUGAUGAUGAACUUCCCUGGACUAUCAGGAGUCAGUAACAAGCCUCUCUCCUGAUGAUGAACUUCCCUGGACUAUCAGGAGUCAGUAACAAGCCUCUCUCCUGAUGAUGAACUUCCCUGGACUAUCAGGCGUCAGUAACAAGCCUCUCUCCUGAUGAUUAACUUCACUGGACUAUCAGGUGUCAGUAACAAGCCUCUCUCCUGAUGAUGAACUUCCCUGGACUAUCAGGUGUCAGUAACAAGCCUCUCUCCUGAUGAUGAACUUCCUUGGACUAUCAGGAGUCAGUAACAAGCCUCUCUCCUGAUGAUGAACUUCCCUGGACUAUCAGGUGUCAGUAACAAGCCUCUCUCCUGAUGAUGAACUUCCUUGGACUAUCAGGAGUCAGUAACAAGCCUCUCUCCUGAUGAUGAACUUCCCUGGACUAUCAGGUGUCAGUA